Molecule: ribosomal RNA, 533 nt
Filed under: Clostridioides difficile
Lineage: Bacteria; Bacillati; Bacillota; Clostridia; Peptostreptococcales; Peptostreptococcaceae
Description: bacterial SSU rRNA
Rfam family: Bacterial small subunit ribosomal RNA
Source: RNAcentral
UUACCAAGGCGACGAUCAGUAGCCGACCUGAGAGGGUGAUCGGCCACAUUGGAACUGAGACACGGUCCAAACUCCUACGGGAGGCAGCAGUGGGGAAUAUUGCACAAUGGGCGAAAGCCUGAUGCAGCAACGCCGCGUGAGUGAUGAAGGCCUUCGGGUCGUAAAACUCUGUCCUCAAGGAAGAUAAUGACGGUACUUGAGGAGGAAGCCCCGGCUAACUACGUGCCAGCAGCCGCGGUAAUACGUAGGGGGCUAGCGUUAUCCGGAUUUACUGGGCGUAAAGGGUGCGUAGGCGGUCUUUCAAGUCAGGAGUGAAAGGCUACGGCUCAACCGUAGUAAGCUCUUGAAACUGGGAGACUUGAGUGCAGGAGAGGAGAGUGGAAUUCCUAGUGUAGCGGUGAAAUGCGUAGAUAUUAGGAGGAACACCAGUUGCGAAGGCGGCUCUCUGGACUGUAACUGACGCUGAGGCACGAAAGCGUGGGGAGCAAACAGGAUUAGAUACCCUGGUAGUCCACGCUGUAAACGAUGAGUAC